This 459-nucleotide ribosomal RNA is filed under the name uncultured Streptococcus sp. RNAcentral describes it as "partial 16S ribosomal RNA". It matches the Rfam family "Bacterial small subunit ribosomal RNA", at positions 341 to 792 of the family's 1533-position model. Lineage: Bacteria; Bacillati; Bacillota; Bacilli; Lactobacillales; Streptococcaceae. The record is from RNAcentral.
ACGGAAGGCAGCAGUAGGGAAUCUUCGGCAAUGGGGGCAACCCUGAUCGAGCAACGCCGCGUGAGUGAAGAAGGUUUUCGGAUCGUAAAGCUCUGUUGUAAGAGAAGAACGUGUGUGAGAGUGGAAAGUUCACACAGUGACGGUAACUUACCAGAAAGGGACGGCUAACUGCGCGCCAGCAGCCGCGGUAAUACGUAGGUCCCGAGCGUUGUCCGGAUUUAUUGGGCGUAAGGCGAGCGCAGGCGGUUUAAUAAGUCUGAAGUUAAAGGCAGUGGCUUAACCAUUGUUCGCUUUGGAAACUGUUAGACUUGAGUGCAGAAGGGGAGAGUGGAAUUCCAUGUGUAGCGGUGAAAUGCGUAGAUAUAUGGAGGAACACCGGUGGCGAAAGCGGCUCUCUGGUCUGUAACUGACGCUGAGGCUCGAAAGCGUGGGGAGCAAACAGGAUUAGAUACCCUGGUA